RNAcentral lists this ribosomal RNA (371 nucleotides) under uncultured bacterium. RNAcentral's name for it is "bacterial SSU rRNA". It matches the Rfam family "Bacterial small subunit ribosomal RNA", at positions 29 to 429 of the family's 1533-position model. The record is from RNAcentral.
AACGAACGCUGGCGGCAUGCCUAACACAUGCAAGUCGAACGAGACCUUCGGGUCUAGUGGCGCACGGGUGCGUAACACGUGGGAAUUUGCCUCGGGGUAUGGAAUAACUCAGGGAAACUUGAGCUAAUACCAUAUAAUGUCUUCGGACCAAAGAUUUAUCGCCCUGAGAUAAGCCCGCGUAGGAUUAGCUAGUUGGUGGGGUAAAGGCUCACCAAGGCGACGAUCCUUAGCUGGUCUGAGAGGAUGAUCAGCCACACUGGGACUGAGACACGGCCCAGACUCCUACGGGAGGCAGCAGUGGGGAAUAUUGGACAAUGGGCGGAAAGCCUGAUCCAGCAAUGCCACGUGAGUGAUGAAGGCUCGGUUGUAAG